GACGAACGCUGGCGGCGUGCUUAACACAUGCAAGUCGAACGGUGAAGGGGUCUGCUUUUGUGGGCCCUGGAUGAGUGGCGAACGGGUGAGUAACACGUGAGUAACCUGCCCCCUUCUUCUGGAUAACCGCAUGAAAGUGUGGCUAAUACGGGAUAUUCUGGGUCUGUCGCAUGAUGGGUCUGGGAAAGAUUGCGCCUUUGGGUGUUUUUGGUGGGGGAUGGGCUCGCGGCCUAUCAGCUUGUUGGUGGGGUGAUGGCCUACCAAGGCGGGGAUGGGUAGCCGGCCUGAGAGGGUGGACGGUGACACUGGGACUGGGACACGGCCCAGACUCCUACGGGAGGCAGCAGUGGGGAAUAUUGCACAAUGGGCGCAAGCCUGAUGCAGCGACGCCGCGUGAGGGAUGGAGGCCUUCGGGUUGUAAACCUCUUUCGCCAGUGAAGCAGGCCUGCUCCUUGUGGGUGGGUUGACGGUAGCUGGAUAAGAAGCGCCGGCUAACUACGUG
RNAcentral lists this ribosomal RNA (502 nucleotides) under uncultured bacterium. Its description in RNAcentral is "partial 16S ribosomal RNA". It matches the Rfam family "Bacterial small subunit ribosomal RNA", at positions 28 to 507 of the family's 1533-position model. The record is from RNAcentral.